RNAcentral lists this ribosomal RNA (506 nucleotides) under uncultured bacterium. Its description in RNAcentral is "partial 16S ribosomal RNA". It matches the Rfam family "Bacterial small subunit ribosomal RNA", at positions 29 to 523 of the family's 1533-position model. The record is from RNAcentral.
AGUGAACGCUGGCGGUAGGCCUAACACAUACAAGUCGAACGGCAGCACAGAGGAGCUUGCUCCUUGGGUGGCGAGUGGCGGACGGGUGAGGAAUACAUCGGAAUCUACUCUGUCGUGGGGGAUAACGUAGGGAAACUUACGCUAAUACCGCAUACGACCUACGGGUGAAAGCAGGGGAUCUUCGGACCUUGCGCGAUUGAAUGAGCCGAUGUCGGAUUAGCUAGUUGGCGGGGUAAAGGCCCACCAAGGCGACGAUCCGUAGCUGGUCUGAGAGGAUGAUGAGCCAAACGGGAACUGAGACACGGUCCAGACUCCUACGGGAGGCAGCAGUGGGGAAUAUUGGACAAUGGGCGCAAGCCUGAUCCAGCCAUACCGCGUGGGUGAAGAAGGCCUUCGGGUUGUAAAGCCCUUUUGUUGGGAAAGAAAUCCAUCUGGUUAAUACCCGGGUGGGAUGACGGUACCCAAAGAAUAAGCACCGGCUAACUUCGUGCCAGCCGCCGCCGUAA